RNAcentral lists this ribosomal RNA (497 nucleotides) under uncultured bacterium. Its description in RNAcentral is "partial 16S ribosomal RNA". It matches the Rfam family "Bacterial small subunit ribosomal RNA", at positions 28 to 507 of the family's 1533-position model. The record is from RNAcentral.
GAUGAACGCUGGCGGCGUGCCUAAUACAUGCAAGUCGAGCGAACGGACGAGAAGCUUGCUUCUCUGAUGUUAGCGGCGGACGGGUGAGUAACACGUGGAUAACCUACCUAUAAGACUGGGAUAACUUCGGGAAACCGGAGCUAAUACCGGAUAAUAUUUUGAACCGCAUGGUUCAAAAGUGAAAGACGGUCUUGCUGUCACUUAUAGAUGGAUCCGCGCUGCAUUAGCUAGUUGGUAAGGUAACGGCUUACCAAGGCAACGAUGCAUAGCCGACCUGAGAGGGUGAUCGGCCACACUGGAACUGAGACACGGUCCAGACUCCUACGGGAGGCAGCAGUAGGGAAUCGUCCGAAAUGGGCGAAAGCCUGACGGAGCAACGCCGCGUGAGUGAUGAAGGUCUUCGGAUCGUAAAACUCUGUUAUUAGGGAAGAACAUAUGUGUAAGUAACUGUGCACAUCUUGACGGUACCUAAUCAGAAAGCCACGGCUAACUACGUG